This 425-nucleotide ribosomal RNA is filed under the name uncultured bacterium. Its description in RNAcentral is "partial 16S ribosomal RNA". It matches the Rfam family "Bacterial small subunit ribosomal RNA", at positions 354 to 796 of the family's 1533-position model. The record is from RNAcentral.
GUGGGGAAUAUUGCACAAUGGAGGAAACUCUGAUGCAGCGACGCCGCGUGAGUGAAGAAGUAAUUCGUUAUGUAAAGCUCUAUCAGCAGGGAAGAUAGUGACGGUACCUGACUAAGAAGCUCCGGCUAAAUACGUGCCAGCAGCCGCGGUAAUACGUAUGGAGCAAGCGUUAUCCGGAUUUACUGGGUGUAAAGGGAGUGUAGGUGGCCAUGCAAGUCAGAAGUGAAAAUCCGGGGCUCAACCCCGGAACUGCUUUUGAAACUGUGAGGCUGGAGUGCAGGAGGGGUGAGUGGAAUUCCUAGUGUAGCGGUGAAAUGCGUAGAUAUUAGGAGGAACACCAGUGGCGAAGGCGGCUCACUGGACUGUAACUGACACUGAGGCUCGAAAGCGUGGGGAGCAAACAGGAUUAGAAACCCCUGUAGUCC